GGAAUUGCUAGUAAUGGCAGGUCAGCAUACUGCCGUGAAUACGUUCCCGGGCCUUGUACACACCGCCCGUCACACCAUGAGAGUUGGGAAUACCCGAAGCCUGUGAGCUAACGUUAAGAGGCAGCAGUCGAAGGUAGAAUCAAUGAUUGGGUGAAGUCGUAACAAGGUAAC
This 171-nucleotide ribosomal RNA is filed under the name uncultured bacterium. RNAcentral's name for it is "partial 16S ribosomal RNA". It matches the Rfam family "Bacterial small subunit ribosomal RNA", at positions 1328 to 1500 of the family's 1533-position model. The record is from RNAcentral.